AACGAACGCUGGCGGCAUGCCUAACACAUGCAAGUCGAACGAUGCCUUCGGGCAUAGUGGCGCACGGGUGCGUAACGCGUGGGAAUCUGCCUUUCGGUUCGGAAUAACUCAGGGAAACUUGAGCUAAUACCGGAUAACGUCGCAAGACCAAAGAUUUAUCACCGAAAGAUGAGCCCGCGUAGGAUUAGCUAGUUGGUGAGGUAAAGGCUCACCAAGGCGACGAUCCUUAGCUGGUCUGAGAGGAUGAUCAGCCACACUGGGACUGAGACACGGCCCAGACUCCUACGGGAGGCAGCAGUGGGGAAUAUUGGACAAUGGGCGAAAGCCUGAUCCAGCAAUGCCGCGUGAGUGAUGAAGGCCUUAGGGUUGUAAAGCUCUUUUACCCGGGAAGAUAAUGACGGUACCGGGAGAAUAAGCCCCGGCUAACUCCGUGC
This 434-nucleotide ribosomal RNA is filed under the name uncultured bacterium. RNAcentral's name for it is "partial 16S ribosomal RNA". It matches the Rfam family "Bacterial small subunit ribosomal RNA", at positions 29 to 508 of the family's 1533-position model. The record is from RNAcentral.